Molecule: ribosomal RNA, 467 nt
Filed under: uncultured bacterium
Lineage: Bacteria
Description: partial 16S ribosomal RNA
Rfam family: Bacterial small subunit ribosomal RNA
Source: RNAcentral
GACGAACGCUGGCGGCGUGCUUAACACAUGCCAGUCGAACGGAAAGGCCCUGCUUUUGUGGGGUGCUCGAGUGCGAACGGGUGAGUAACACGUGAGUAACCUGCCCUUGACUUUGGGAUAACUUCAGGAAACUGGGGCUAAUACCGGAUAGAAGCUCCUGCUGCAUGGUGGGGGUUGGAAAGUUUCGGCGGUUGGGGAUGGACUCGCGGCUUAUCAGCUUGUUGGUGGGGUAGUGGCUUACCAAGGCUUUGACGGGUAGCCGGCCUGAGAGGGUGACCGGCCACAUUGGGACUGAGAUACGGCCCAGACUCCUACGGGAGGCAGCAGUGGGGAAUAUUGCACAAUGGGCGGAAGCCUGAUGCAGCAACGCCGCGUGCGGGAUGACGGCCUUCGGGUUGUAAACCGCUUUCGCCUGUGACGAAGCGUGAGUGACGGUAAUGGGUAAAGAAGCACCGGCUAACUACGUG